Molecule: ribosomal RNA, 2013 nt
Filed under: Triticum aestivum (bread wheat)
Lineage: Eukaryota; Viridiplantae; Streptophyta; Magnoliopsida; Poales; Poaceae
Description: partial small subunit ribosomal RNA
Source: RNAcentral
AUGGCGGCCGGCUCCGCGGCUACCCUCCUCGCGGCCGUCGCCUGCGCCGUCCUCGUGCUCCUCGCCCCCGCCGUCUCCGGAGAUGCUGCUACACUGGAAUCUGUUCCAGAUCUUGUGAAGGCAAUGUAUGUAAACAUUGAAAGCUUCCCUUGUGUCAGGCUGCUGAAUCUUUCUGGUGAAAUCGGCUGCUCUAAUCCUGGGCACGGCCUGGUUAUUGCACCGAUUGUAAGAUUCAAAAACAGCGAUGACCAGUUGGCUCAACCAUCUGCAGUUCUUCUUCCCUUGGAUCAGAUGCCAGCUUUCUUUCUGAGGGUAUCCAAUGAUCCAGAACUUUACCAUAAGGUUGCCGGUGUACUGGUUGAAUCAAAUGGUGACAAGUUACUAGAGUUGUCACCGGAUAGAAAAUUUCCACAAGAGGAUUUUGCACCAUACUCAAAUGUCAGCCAUGAUUGGAAUCCUUCUGGGUCAGGUAUUAUGUGGAACAGAUAUGAUUUUCCCGUGUUUCUACUUUCAGAGGAGAGCACACAGACUCUGCGAAAGAUUGCGGACAAGAAUGAGAAGUCUAGCAAUGGAUAUCAAGCAAAUGUAGCGGAAUUUGACCUUGUUAUGCAGACGACUAAAGCUGAAACAAAUGGUUCAGAGUCCUGCCUCAAAGAGCAGUCGUGCUUGCCCUUAGGAGGACAGAGUGUAUGGGCUUCGUUACCACCAAUGAGCAAUGCAUCAGCAGAGCAUCAGAAACCAAUAAUAAUGGUUGUUGCAUCCCAGGAUUCUGCAUCGUUCUUUAGGGACCGUAGUCUGGGUGCUGAUUCUCCCAUAUCAGGAUUGAUUGCUUUGCUCACUGCUGUUGAUGCUCUUUCUCACCUUCAUGAUCUAGGCAAACUCAAGAAACAGCUUGUAUUUGCUGCUUUUGAUGGUGAAGCAUGGGGUUAUCUUGGUAGCAGAAAAUUCUUACAAGAACUGGAUGAAGGUGAUGAUUCUGUGAAUGGCAUUAACAGCUCAAUGAUUGAGCAGGUACUGGAGAUUGGUUCGGUUGGCAAGGGCAUAAGCCAAGGAGAUACAUUAUUUUAUGCACAUGCUUCAAGGAAUUCAUCAAUUUCAAAGAAGAUUUUAGAUGGUCUCCAAAGUGGCAGUGAUUCACUUGGCUCUGAUAAUGUCAAAGUAAAACCAGCAGCUUCAUCAAACCCUGGUGUACCACCAUCUUCAUUGAUGUCAUUCAUGAGAAAGAAUACAUCAACUUCUGGAGUUGUGUUAGAGGACUUCGAUUCCCAGUUUUCCAAUAGAUUUUAUCACAGCCAUUUGGACAGCCCUGCAAACAUCAAUUCCUCAUCAAUAGCAGCAGCUGCUGCUUUGGUUGCGAGGUCAUUGUACAUUCUUGCUACUGGUGAUAUGACCGUCGAUCUCAUGACACUGAACACUAUAAAAGUGAACGUUACACUGGUAGAAGAAUUGAUUGGAUGUCUACUGACCUGUGAUCCCGGUCUUUCUUGUGGCAUCGCGAAGAGCUUCAUUUCUCCAAGCAAUGCCUGCCCGAGUCACUAUGUUGGUGUUUUCCAGGACUCACCUUCUAGCACGCAGUUUCCUUCAUAUGCAGAUGAUACCUCCCGGUUCAUAUGGAACUUCUUGGCAGACAGAACUUCUACUUUGGCAAGCAACGUAAGCUCUUGUACUGUGAAGUGCAACAACGAAAGUGAAGUAUGCGUAGGGGGAGAAGUGGAGGGUGGAGGCCGGUGCGUUGUAUCGACAACAAGGUACGUUCCUGCCUAUUCAACCAGGCUGAAGUUCGAGGACAACGCCUGGCACGUUCUUCCGGCAAACUCUUCUGACCCCAUGGGUGCAGCGGACCCCGUAUGGACCGAGAGCUACUGGAACACCAUCAGCCUGAGGGUCUACGCGGUGCAGUCCACGACCUCCGACAGGCUCAUCCUUCUCGCCGGGCUCGCCGUCACCGCGGCGUCGUAUCUCGGGGUGGUCGUCGGCAGAGCAUACAUCUCGAAGAUCACGAAGCGAGACUGA